This 1778-nucleotide long non-coding RNA is filed under the name Crocodylus porosus (Australian saltwater crocodile). RNAcentral's name for it is "lncRNA (ENSCPRG00005012547.1)". Lineage: Eukaryota; Metazoa; Chordata; Crocodylia; Crocodylidae. The record is from RNAcentral.
UGAAGAGCGGCACGGCGAGCACAUUCAGCCCCGAGGCAGGGCGGCGCAUUAUCUCUGUUCGCACGUCACGAGCGCCUGACGAACUCAUUCCUGUGGUCCCAAGGAGGAUAGGCUGUGAUGGGCUGGGAAGGGAGGUCCGCUGGGAAGGAAAAGCCACAGCAAAGGGCAGAGCGAGAAGGGGCAAACACAUGGGGGCAGGAUGGGAGCGAGGGGCCGGGACGAGAGAAGGCCUCGGAGCCUGGGGGGCAGAGCCGCUGCGGGGCAGAGGGGGGGCUGUGCCCGCUUCAGGAUCCAGACGACAAAGGAAGAAACAGCAGCGUGAGCUGGGGAGCACGGCUCGGCUUUGGGGACGAGCCCAUAUCCAGUGGGGCUCCUUAGCACUGACACCGGCCCUGCAUCACCGAAACCCCUGCAGGCUGUUUCACCUGGGGGCACGGGGGCUUUGUGGGAAGACGGCCGGCCAGUUGGACAGGAGAGGAAAGCAACCCCCUACCAUCCCAGUUCAUCCAGACUGGAGUCAGGGUCUAAGCAAGUCUGGGGGAAUAAAAACCCAGUGCAGAGGCCGGAGGGAGCUUGUUACUUUGACUGAAGAAAACCCCAAGCGAAGGAUCUCAGCCGCCCGGCUAGGACGUGGACUGCAGCGUCGUCGCUGCAACGGCAGCGAGGAGAGAUCUGUGGGAUGCUGCGGCAGAUAGCCGCAUCUCAGCGUUUCCAUGAUAUCAGCCCUGCAUGCUGGGUUUAUAACUUGGCUGUGAAAACACCCUCUGGGUGGAAACUUGGCAGCCAGCCCCUGGUCAGGGAGCAAUGUCAUGUUCACAAUGCGGCGAUUAAAACAAAUACAGAAACAGUUUUUGAAAAAGUUCGGGUGUUCCUGGUCGUUCCCAGCACCGUGAGGUCUGAAUGGGACCUCUUUUCUGCUUGGCCUGACUGUAAAGAGCCAGCCAGGCCUUUCCCAAAUGGAGCCAUUACUCAUUACUGCCCAGCAGAGUGGGGGCCACAUCCAUUUCCGGGGAAGUCGGGUGGAGUCUUUCUGUCGACAUCCAUGAGCUUUGCAGCAGACCCUCCACGGAUCGCAGCGCCCACGCUGACCCUCUCAUUCAGCUUGUGGCUGGGCAGCUAUAAGCCCUGUGGCCUUGCCUGUCAUCAAACAAGUAGUUGACGGCAUGCCAAAAAUAGUCCUAGUUAGGAAUGAGCCAUCCCCAGCUCAUGUCCGGCAGUGUCGGAGAUCCCACGGUUUAUGAGUCCGCGUGCAAUUGUGGCGCGGAAGUUUCUUGCGUGCAGAUGUGCAGCCACCCUGGGUAAAUGCUGCCUUGUGCAUGGCGAUUGCUGUCAUGGGAUGCACCAAAAGCGUGACAAACUUUUAUGGAUUGGGACCAGAGUGCGUGCCUGCGGAAAGUUGGAGAUUGCUGGGACAGAGUGACUCAUCCGCCCUGAGCGGGAGCAAGCAAGGGGAUGAGAGUGAUCAACACGUUUGCACGAUCUUCCUUUUAUGCAAUCAUGAUCAUUGCUACAGCAACCCUCUGUGAUGUCAGACACCAAAAUAAUAGGAGCUGAUGCUCUUUCCACGCAGAAAGGAGUCACGGCGCUCUGUUUUUCCUGGCUGGAUGGCUUCAGACUUUCCCGACGAGAAAUCGGCUGUUGAGCGUUCCAGCUGUUGGACCUCUUUCUGGGGCUACGCAGCCCCUCCUGAAUGCCUGGCGCAGAUGCACAUAAUCUGUACUGUCGAAAAUAAUGCUAAUCAUAAUAAAAUGCACUUAAAAGCUGCUGCGUAAUAUUAA